RNAcentral lists this transfer RNA (86 nucleotides) under Kitasatospora phosalacinea. RNAcentral describes it as "tRNA-Pro". The record is from RNAcentral. Lineage: Bacteria; Bacillati; Actinomycetota; Actinomycetes; Kitasatosporales; Streptomycetaceae.
AGUACGGGCUGGGGUUCGGCGACCCGGGCCCGUUGGGCACGGCCGGGGCGGUGUCGCUCGCCGCGUUCGAGACCGGGUUCGUGCUG